This is a long non-coding RNA of Eriocheir sinensis (Chinese mitten crab), 850 nucleotides long. RefSeq lists it as uncharacterized. Lineage: Eukaryota; Metazoa; Arthropoda; Malacostraca; Decapoda; Varunidae. The transcript has 4 exons. The record is from RefSeq and is a predicted model, not a curated record.
UCUGAUUUAGAUGUAGCAAGGGCUGACCUUCAAGAGAAGCUUCCUGAAACACCAUGUUUGAUAGUAUGUGGGGAAUCCAGGUUAACAGCAACUUCAUGUAUGCUGGCUGUUGAUGGUGUAAUUGUCAAUGACCACAUAAGUGACAUAACCAUGGGUGUUGCUAUGCUCCUUGCAGCUUGUUACAAUUUUAGCAUAAUGUAUCCUGCUGGAGCUGCAGCAACACUAGAACACCUCCAAAGAUGUUUCAUUGCCAUAAAUCCAGACAGGGGAAGCAGAAUCGAGAUCAAGAAACACUGCAAGCGUUAUUCGCAGGUCCACCCUAAGGUGCUAUCUUUCAUAAAUGAAAUAUGCUGACUAAGAGUGGAGAAGCUGAAUACCAUUUCAGGAGGACUGUCCACCAGCUCUUCCUGGAUAUCCUCCCACUGUGAACUUGGGAAUUUUGCAGCCACUUACUUCUCCAAAACAACUUUUGUUCCAAGUAGCAUAGCUUCAUUCCCUUCAUCUGUAGAACUCUUACCACAAUACUAAUCAGAAUCAUAGCAGAAUGGUAACCUGAAAUUCAACACAGAUCUCAGAGCUUGUGACCAAACCUGAUUGACUUGCCCCUGAUAAACCGAUUAGAGAGUUACGGCCUUAAUAUUUCAGUCAUUUCACCUACAGAUAAACACUCUUCAUUCAAAUUGUUGAAAUGUCUCCCUGACAAGAGAAAUAAGAGACCUAAUCUUGUACCCCUUGUCGUGUUUACUGUUCAUGGCUUCCUCAUUAUUGCAAAAAUGUACCACACCUUUCAAAAGAAGUUAACGAUUCCUUGAGAUUGCUUUCUGUGUGUUUGGGACCCCAAGAUCUUCCU